UACAGAGGUCUCAAGCGUUGUUCGGAUUCAUUGGGCGUAAAGGGUGCGUAGGCGGCGCGGUAAGUCGGGUGUGAAAUCUCGGAGCUUAACUCCGAAACUGCAUUCGAUACUGCCGUGCUUGAGGACUGGAGAGGAGACUGGAAUUUACGGUGUAGCGGUGAAAUGCGUAGAGAUCGACAAGAACACCGGUGGCGAAGGCGGGUCUCUGGACAGUUCCUGACGCUGAGGGACGAAAGCUAGGGGAGCAAACGGG
Molecule: ribosomal RNA, 253 nt
Filed under: uncultured bacterium
Lineage: Bacteria
Description: partial 16S ribosomal RNA
Rfam family: Bacterial small subunit ribosomal RNA
Source: RNAcentral